AGGAAGGUAUUAUAAAUGGAGGUUGGGAAGGAAGGCUUUAUAAAUGGAGGUGGAGAAGGAAGACAUUAUAAAUGGAGGUGGGGAAGGAAGGUAUUAUAAAUGGAGGUGGGGAAGGAAGGCUUUAUAAAUGGAGGUGGAGAAGGAAGACAUUAUAAAUGGAGGUGGGGAAGGAAGAUAUUAUAAAUGGAGGUGGAGAAGGAAGGUAUUAUAAAUGGAGGUGGGGAAGGAAGGCAUUAUAAAUGGAGGUGGAGAAGGAAGGCUUUAUAAAUGGAGGUGGGGAAGGACGACAUUAUAAAUGGAGGUGGGGAAGGAAGGUAUUAUAAAUGGAGGUGGGGAAGGAAGGUAUUAUAAAUGGAGGUGGGGAAGGAAGGCUUUAUAAAUGGAGGUGGAGAAGGAAGACAUUAUAAAUGGAGGUGGGGAAGGAAGACAUUAUAAAUGGAGGUGGGGAAGGAAGACAUUAUAAAUGGAGGUGGGGAAGGAAGAUAUUAUAAAUGGAGGUGGAGAAGGAAGGUAUUAUAAAUGGAGGUGGGGAAGGAAUGUAUUAUAAAUGGAGGUGGAGAA
Molecule: long non-coding RNA, 561 nt
Organism: Oncorhynchus keta (chum salmon)
Lineage: Eukaryota; Metazoa; Chordata; Actinopteri; Salmoniformes; Salmonidae
Exons: 3
Source: RefSeq, a predicted model, not a curated record